GUGGGGAAUAUUGCACAAUGGGCGCAAGCCUGAUGCAGCAACGCCGCGUGAGGGAUGACGGCCUUCGGGUUGUAAACCUCUUUUAGUAGGGAAGAAGCGAAAGUGACGGUACCUGCAGAAAAAGCACCGGCUAACUACGUGCCAGCAGCCGCGGUAAUACGUAGGGUGCAAGCGUUGUCCGGAAUUAUUGGGCGUAAAGAGCUCGUAGGCGGCUUGUCGCGUCUGCUGUGAAAUCCCGGGGCUCAACCCCGGGCCUGCAGUGGGUACGGGCAGGCUAGAGUGCGGUAGGGGAGAUUGGAAUUCCUGGUGUAGCGGUGGAAUGCGCAGAUAUCAGGAGGAACACCGAUGGCGAAGGCAGAUCUCUGGGCCGCUACUGACGCUGAGGAGCGAAAGCAUGGGGAGCGAACAGGAUUAGAAACCCGGGUAGUCC
This 430-nucleotide ribosomal RNA is filed under the name uncultured bacterium. Its description in RNAcentral is "partial 16S ribosomal RNA". It matches the Rfam family "Bacterial small subunit ribosomal RNA", at positions 354 to 796 of the family's 1533-position model. The record is from RNAcentral.